RNAcentral lists this transfer RNA (66 nucleotides) under Gastrothylax crumenifer. Its description in RNAcentral is "tRNA-Val". Lineage: Eukaryota; Metazoa; Platyhelminthes; Trematoda; Plagiorchiida; Gastrothylacidae. The record is from RNAcentral.
AUAAAGGUAGUUUAAUUUAAAACAUCUAUUUUACACGUAGGAAAUGGCCGUACGGCCUAUUGUUAU